Molecule: ribosomal RNA, 329 nt
Filed under: uncultured eukaryote
Lineage: Eukaryota
Description: partial 18S ribosomal RNA
Rfam family: Eukaryotic small subunit ribosomal RNA
Source: RNAcentral
CCCUUAGAUGUCCUGGGCCGCACGCGCGCUACACUGAGUGUCUGAGAUACGAGUCUGCCUGGUCCGGCAAGGUCUAGGUAAUCGCUAAAAGACACAUCAUGCUUGGGAUAGAUUAUUGCAAAUAUUAAUCUUGAACGAGGAAUUCCUAGUAAGCGCAAGUCAACAGCUUGCGUUGAUUACGUCCCUGCCCUUUGUACACACCGCCCGUCGCUCCUACCGAUUGGGUGUGCUGGUGAAAUGUUCGGAUCGGCCGUUUGUCGCGGUUUCCGCGGCUCGUGGCUGAGAAGUUCAUUAAACCCUCCCACCUAGAGGAAGGAGAAGUCGUAACA